Molecule: ribosomal RNA, 484 nt
Filed under: uncultured bacterium
Lineage: Bacteria
Description: partial 16S ribosomal RNA
Rfam family: Bacterial small subunit ribosomal RNA
Source: RNAcentral
AUUGAACGCUGGCGGCAGGCCUAACACAUGCAAGUCGAGCGGAUGAAGGGAGCUUGCUCCUGGAUUCAGCGGCGGACGGGUGAGUAAUGCCUAGGAAUCUGCCUGGUAGUGGGGGAUAACGUCCGGAAACGGGCGCUAAUACCGCAUACGUCCUGAGGGAGAAAGUGGGGGAUCUUCGGACCUCACGCUAUCAGAUGAGCCUAGGUCGGAUUAGCUAGUUGGUGGGGUAAAGGCCUACCAAGGCGACGAUCCGUAACUGGUCUGAUAGGAUGAUCAGUCACACUGGAACUGAGACACGGUCCAGACUCCUACGGGAGGCAGCAGUGGGGAAUAUUGGACAAUGGGCGAAAGCCUGAUCCAGCCAUGCCGCGUGUGUGAAGAAGGUCUUCGGAUUGGAAAGCACUUUAAGUUGGGAGGAAGGGCAGUAAGUUAAUACCUUGCUGUUUUGACGUUACCAACAGAAUAAGCACCGGCUAACUUCGUG